RNAcentral lists this ribosomal RNA (251 nucleotides) under uncultured bacterium. RNAcentral's name for it is "partial 16S ribosomal RNA". It matches the Rfam family "Bacterial small subunit ribosomal RNA", at positions 525 to 775 of the family's 1533-position model. The record is from RNAcentral.
ACGGAGGAUGCGAGCGUUAUCCGGAUUUAUUGGGUUUAAAGGGUGCGUAGGCGGCACGCCAAGUCAGCGGUGAAAUUUCCGGGCUCAACCCGGACUGUGCCGUUGAAACUGGUGAGCUAGAGUGCACAAGAGGCAGGCGGAAUGCGUGGUGUAGCGGUGAAAUGCAUAGAUAUCACGCAGAACCCCGAUUGCGAAGGCAGCCUGCUAGGGUGCGACAGACGCUGAGGCACGAAAGCGUGGGUAUCGAACAG